AGUAGUAAGUCUACAAGGUUCCGUAGGUGAACCUGCGGAGGAUCAUUA
Molecule: ribosomal RNA, 48 nt
Filed under: Stagonospora bicolor (blackleg fungus)
Lineage: Eukaryota; Fungi; Ascomycota; Dothideomycetes; Pleosporales; Massarinaceae
Description: partial small subunit ribosomal RNA
Source: RNAcentral